This 253-nucleotide ribosomal RNA is filed under the name uncultured bacterium. Its description in RNAcentral is "partial 16S ribosomal RNA". It matches the Rfam family "Bacterial small subunit ribosomal RNA", at positions 524 to 776 of the family's 1533-position model. The record is from RNAcentral.
UACAGAGGGUGCAAGCGUUGUUCGGAAUUACUGGGCGUAAAGCGUGCGCAGGCGGUGAUGUAAGACAGAUGUGAAAUCCCCGGGCUCAACCUGGGAACUGCAUUUGUGACUGCAUUGCUGGAGUGCGGCAGAGGGGGAUGGAAUUCCGCGUGUAGCAGUGAAAUGCGUAGAUAUGCGGAGGAACACCGAUGGCGAAGGCAAUCCCCUGGGCCUGCACUGACGCUCAUGCACGAAAGCGUGGGGAGCAAACAGG